Molecule: unclassified non-coding RNA, 240 nt
Filed under: Urceodiscus scabridulus
Lineage: Eukaryota; Viridiplantae; Streptophyta; Magnoliopsida; Cucurbitales; Cucurbitaceae
Description: Urceodiscus scabridula sequence contains ITS1
Source: RNAcentral
CGUAGGUGACCUGCGGAGGAUCAUUGUCGAUGCCUAAACAUCAAACGACCCGCGAACGCGUUUACAAACAAAUUGCCCGUGUCGGGGGGCGGGGGGAAGCGUGCUCCUCUGGGGGUGCCCCCUCCCCCCUCGAUGCGCCUAAACCAAACCCCGGCGCAGGUCGCGCCAAGGAACUUGAAAUGAAUUCGCCUGCCCCCUGCCCCGGCCUCGGAGUGCGGGGGGCGGAGCAUUCUUGUCGUA